GUGUCAGCCGCCGCGGUAAUACAGAGGUCUCAAGCGUUGUUCGGAUUCAUUGGGCGUAAAGGGUGCGUAGGCGGUAGGGUAAGUCGGAUGUGAAAUCCCGGGGCUCAACCCCGGAACUGCAUUCGAUACUGCCUUGCUUGAGCACUGGAGAGGAGACUGGAAUUUACGGUGUAGCAGUGAAAUGCGUAGAUAUCGUAAGGAAGACCAGUGGCGAAGGCGAGUCUCUGGACAGUUGCUGACGCUGAGGCACGAAGGCCAGGGGAGCAAACGGGAUUAGAUACCCCGGUAGUCC
RNAcentral lists this ribosomal RNA (292 nucleotides) under uncultured bacterium. Its description in RNAcentral is "partial 16S ribosomal RNA". It matches the Rfam family "Bacterial small subunit ribosomal RNA", at positions 505 to 796 of the family's 1533-position model. The record is from RNAcentral.